GAUGAAGAACGUAGCGAAAUGCGAUAAGUAAUGUGAAUUGCAGAAUUCAGUGAAUCAUCGAAUCUUUGAACGCACCUUGCGCCCUUUGGACUUCUGAAGGGCAUGCCUGUUUGAGUAUCAUGAACACCUCAACUCCUUAUGGUCUUCCAUGAUGAGCUUGGACUUUGGGGGUUUUGCUGGCCUACAGUCAGCUCCUCUAAAAUAAAUCAGCUUACCGGUGUUUGGUGGGUAUCAUGGGUGUGAUAACUAUCUACGCUCGUGGUUUUCCACCAGGUAACCUUCAGCAGUGGAGGUUCACUGGAGCUCAUAGAUGUCUCUCCUCAGCGAGGACAGCCUUUGAAUGUUUGAUCUCAAAUCAGGUAGGACUACCCGCUGAACUUAAGCAUAUCAAUAAGCGGAGGA
RNAcentral lists this unclassified non-coding RNA (402 nucleotides) under soil metagenome. RNAcentral's name for it is "partial contains 5.8S ribosomal RNA, internal transcribed spacer 2, and large subunit ribosomal RNA". The stretch from base 1 to 120 matches the Rfam family "5.8S ribosomal RNA", at positions 35 to 154 of the family's 154-position model. The record is from RNAcentral.